RNAcentral lists this ribosomal RNA (279 nucleotides) under uncultured bacterium. RNAcentral's name for it is "partial 16S ribosomal RNA". It matches the Rfam family "Bacterial small subunit ribosomal RNA", at positions 506 to 784 of the family's 1533-position model. The record is from RNAcentral.
UGCCAGCCGCCGCGGUAAUACGAAAGGGGCUAGCGUUGUUCGGAAUUACUGGGCGUAAAGCGCGCGUAGGCGGCAUAGUAAGUUGGAGGUGAAAUCCCAGAGCUCAACUCUGGAACUGCCUUCAAAACUGCUAAGCUAGAGUGCGGAAGAGGAGAGUGGAAUUCCUAGUGUAGAGGUGAAAUUCGUAGAUAUUAGGAAGAACACCGGUGGCGAAGGCGACUCUCUGGUCCGAUACUGACGCUGAGGUGCGAAAGCGUGGGGAGCAAACAGGAUUAGAUA